Molecule: unclassified non-coding RNA, 385 nt
Filed under: Hevea brasiliensis (rubber tree)
Lineage: Eukaryota; Viridiplantae; Streptophyta; Magnoliopsida; Malpighiales; Euphorbiaceae
Source: RNAcentral
UGGGGUGUCUUUUGAUUCUGGACUUAUUGGUUAAUUUCGAUGCUAUUGCAGGGCAAUCAUUGCAGGGUACUAAAUUUGUGUGUUUUUUUUUUUUGGGGGGGGUAAAAGAGCAGUGGAAGUCUCCAAAUUGAGACUUUUUCUUUCCAAGCUGAAAAGUGCUCUAUGAAUAGGCUAAGUCUGCUGAUGCAUUUAUGUUUUUACAGGCUUUAGAAUUUUCUUUCUGCUAUAUGUUUUAGCUAUAGAAGUUUCUGCUAAAUAUAUUUCCAUGUGUCAACUCAAGUCUUUGUAUAUAAGGUUUUAAUAUGAAACCAUCAAGCAGAAGCUUCAAUUCGUCAUGUAAUUUCUUUGUAUUUCAUUUUCUUUUCUUAAUGAAAAUAUACUAACA